UGCACAAAUAAAUAGAAUUUUAAUCAGUUGGACACAUUAGUAUAGUUUUUCUCAAAUACUUUAAUAGAGCAAGAAGAUGGAAGAAAUCCAUGUUGUUUCUAUUGUGGCUAAGAAUAGGCUACGCUUCCAAGAAAGGCAUGAAACCCACUAGGUUCAUAGCUUGUAAAGGAUUCCUAAGUUA
Molecule: long non-coding RNA, 181 nt
Organism: Octopus sinensis (East Asian common octopus)
Lineage: Eukaryota; Metazoa; Mollusca; Cephalopoda; Octopoda; Octopodidae
Exons: 3
Source: RefSeq, a predicted model, not a curated record